GACGAACGCUGGCGGCGUGCUUAACACAUGCAAGUCGAACUGAAAGGCGCUGAGUUUGUGGGGUGCUCGAGUGGCGAACGGGUGAGUAAAACGUGAGUAACAUGCACUUGACUUUGGGAUAACAUCAGGAAAAAGGGGCUAAUAUAGGAGAGGAGAUACUGAAGCGUGGGGGGGGAUGGAAAGAGACGGCGGUGGGGGAUGGAAUAGCGGCUUAUGAGCUGGUUGGUGGGGUAGUGGCGUACAAAGGCUUUGACGGGUAGCCGGCCUGGGAGGGUGACCGGCCACAUUGGGACUGAGAUACGGCCCAGACUCCAACGUGAGGCAGCAGUGGGGAAUAUUACACAGUGGGCGGAAGCCUGAUGCAGCAACGCCGCGUGCGGGAUGACCGCCUUCGGGUUAUAAACCGCUUUCGCCUGUGACGAAGCGUGAUUGACGGUACUGGGUAAAGAAGCACCGGCUAACUACGUG
Molecule: ribosomal RNA, 468 nt
Filed under: uncultured bacterium
Lineage: Bacteria
Description: partial 16S ribosomal RNA
Rfam family: Bacterial small subunit ribosomal RNA
Source: RNAcentral